GAAUUGCAUAGCCCUGAAAUCCUUGCCAGAGUCAUUGAUGUACAACAGCACUCGUCUUAAGUUGAUUCGAAUUGUAAAAUGUGAUUUGCUAAAGCAUAUUGCAAGACGCCAGCUACCUCCAACUCUAGAGCGGAUAGAGGUAAGUGAAUGCAAGGACCUGCAGUAUUUGCUGGACGAUAUUGCUGAUACCAGUAGUAGCAGCAACACCACAUCUCAUCUUCAGUACUUGAAAAUUCAGCGAUGUCCAUCUCUCGAAUCCUUGACAAGCAGCGGAGAAUUACCUGCAUCACUCAAACACGUUGAUUUGUUGAAGUGUAAAAAGCUAAAGUCAGUAGCGGACAGGUUACAUCAUUACUCGUGUCUUGAAUGCAUUGUCAUCGUAUGUUGUGAAAACCUUGAAUACUUACCCAGAGACGUACACACUCUCAGCACUCUUCGUGAAAUUGAUAUUACGGAUUGUCCGAGUCGUAGUUUCUCCUUGGGCGAAGAGUGGCUCCCUGCCAACCUGAGAGCGCUUCAUGUAUCUGGCUGUAAGAAAAUGCUGGCCCUACCCAAAGGUAUACACAACCAUACCUCUCUUCAAAGUUUGACACUACACCAUUGUCCAGACGAUGUAUCCUUUCCGGGAGAAGGUUUUCCCACCAACCUAAAAUUACUUUCUAUAUCUCAUCUCAAAAUCAUUGAUGCCUUGUUGGAAUGGGGGUUGAACAAACUUACCUCUCUUAAUAAACUUGAAAUUAGUGGAUGUCCACAUCUGGUGUCCUUUUCAGAUCAGAUGAAGUUGCCUAAAUCUCUGUCAAGUCUCACCAUAUCACACUUUACGAAUCUGCGAAGCCUAUCUUCUGAGGGCCUUCAAAACCUCACAUCUCUUAAUGAACUUAUUAUCUUUUGAGUGCGGAAAGUUGACUUCCUUUCAAAAGAAUGGCCUACCUCCCUCACUCUCGAAACUUUAUAUUAGUAGGUGCGAAAAGCUCUUGUCCUUUCCAAAGAAACCCCUGCCGGCCUCACUGUUGCAACUUUAUAUAUAUCAAUGUCCUCUAUUAGAAAAACACUGUAAGAAAGGUGGAGAAGAGUGGUGGAAGAUAUCUCAUGUCCCUUGCGUUAGAUUCAAUUCAUAUCAUUGAUUGUCAUGAUCUCCAUCGAAUGUGGUUAUUGAAGAGAUCCGGUUGCUGGUAUUUAUCAAGUCUGGAUAGUUUUGCACAAAAGUGGGAGCAUAUAUGCACAUAUAGUCAUCACACCCUCAGUUUUAAAUGAUGAAGAUAAUCCUCCUCGACACGAUAUUGAUGAUCUCCUUUGUCCCGGUCUGGUAAAGGGAUUAUGCCAGCACAGCAUUCUUGGGAAUGAACUGAUCAAGAAAAUGAAUAUGAAUUAGAGCCAAGGCAUCUCGUAUCUCCUCACUUCUUGGAUUUUACCGCAUAGAGAUUGAGUCCGACUCCCAACUUCUUGUAAACUGGAUUACUAGAGGGAGCUGCAACAUUUGGUAUUUAGAAGAGUUCUGGGACGAGCUUCAAGACAAUCUUUCUAAUAUGGAGUAUACGAUGAAACAUGUUUUUCGAGAAAGAAAUGCAGUGGCUGAUUUUCUUGCUAAGCAGGGAGCUGGGGGAUUUAACGCGGAUUGGUUUGAUGCUCAUGAUCUUCUGCCCAGCCCUCUUCGGGGACUCCUUCGCAUGAAUAGACUUGGUCUUCCUUACCUGCGAACCAUGUAGUGCUCUCCCAGGUUUGUCUUUCUUUUUAGCUCUUUGUUUUACCCUCUGGUUUUUCUGUGCUUUUUUCUUGCAGGUUCUUGAUCGUGUUUCGCCCUUUAGUUUGUGCUUUGGUCUGUCCUAUAAUGUUUAUUUGGCCAUUAUAGUUUUUGAUGCCUGGGUUUUGGACUUAUUGUGUAUUUGUAACCCUCAGGCGUCGGGUUGUUACCACGGUUUUCCUCCGCCAAAAGUGAGGGCUUAUUAAUAAAAUUGGGGUACCGUUCUCUUUCCAAAAAAAAAAAAAAAAAAGUAUCUCCUCACUUCCUAUAUAUCCACUUCCGUUUUGAUCAAAAAAUUCAAAGGCUUUGCGAACGUACCCAUCAUCC
Long non-coding RNA from Carya illinoinensis, 2068 nucleotides. RefSeq lists it as uncharacterized. The record is from RefSeq and is a predicted model, not a curated record. The transcript is spliced from 3 exons. NCBI's taxonomy places the organism in Eukaryota, Viridiplantae, Streptophyta, Magnoliopsida, Fagales, Juglandaceae.